Molecule: ribosomal RNA, 198 nt
Filed under: uncultured bacterium
Lineage: Bacteria
Description: partial 16S ribosomal RNA
Rfam family: Bacterial small subunit ribosomal RNA
Source: RNAcentral
ACGCUCGACACCUACGGGAGGUAGCAGUGGGGAAUAUUGCACAAUGGGGGAAACCCGUGAUGCAGCAACGCCGCGUGAAGGAAGACGGUUUUCGGAUUGUAAACUUCUGUUCUUAGUGAAGAUAGUGACGGUAGCUAAGGAGCAAGCCACGGCUAACUACGUGCCACAGCCGCGGUAAUCUGAGCGGGCUGGCAAGGC